GACGAACGCUGGCGGCGUGCUUAACACAUGCAAGUCGAACGGAAAGGCCCUGCUUUUGUGGGGUGCUCGAGUGGCGAACGGGUGAGUAACACGUGAGUAACCUGCCCUUGACUUUGGGAUAACUUCAGGAAACUGGGGCUAAUACCGGAUAGGAGCUCCUGCUGCAUGGUGGGGGUUGGAAAGUUUCGGCGGUUGGGGAUGGACUCGCGGCUUAUCAGCUUGUUGGUGGGGUAGUGGCUUACCAAGGCUUUGACGGGUAGCCGGCCUGAGAGGGUGACCGGCCACAUUGGGACUGAGAUACGGCCCGGACUCCUACGGGAGGCAGCAGUGGGGAAUAUUGCACAAUGGGCGGAAGCCUGAUGCAGCAACGCCGCGUGCGGGAUGACGGCCUUCGGAUUGUAAACCGCUUUCGCCUGUGACGAAGCGUGAGUGACGGUAAUGGGUAAAGAAGCACCGGCUAACUACGUG
RNAcentral lists this ribosomal RNA (468 nucleotides) under uncultured bacterium. Its description in RNAcentral is "partial 16S ribosomal RNA". It matches the Rfam family "Bacterial small subunit ribosomal RNA", at positions 28 to 507 of the family's 1533-position model. The record is from RNAcentral.